This 253-nucleotide ribosomal RNA is filed under the name uncultured bacterium. RNAcentral describes it as "partial 16S ribosomal RNA". It matches the Rfam family "Bacterial small subunit ribosomal RNA", at positions 524 to 776 of the family's 1533-position model. The record is from RNAcentral.
UACGUAGGGUGGAAGCGUUGUCCGGAAUUAUUGGGCGUAAAGAGCUCGUAGGCGGUUUGUCACGUCGGCUGUGAAAUCCCGAGGCUUAACCUCGGGCCUGCAGUCGAUACGGGCUAACUAGAGUGAUGCAGGGGAGACUGGAAUUCCUGGUGUAGCGGUGAAAUGCGCAGAUAUCAGGAGGAGCACCGGUGGCGAAGGCGGGUCUCUGGGCAUUAACUGACGCUGAGGAGCGAAAGCGUGGGGAGCGAACAGG